Molecule: ribosomal RNA, 515 nt
Filed under: Colletotrichum cf. gloeosporioides ROG-2010
Lineage: Eukaryota; Fungi; Ascomycota; Sordariomycetes; Glomerellales; Glomerellaceae
Description: eukaryotic LSU rRNA
Rfam family: 5.8S ribosomal RNA (bases 182-335)
Source: RNAcentral
GGAUCAUUACUGAGUUUACGCUCUAUAACCCUUUGUGAACAUACCUAUAACUGUUGCUUCGGCGGGUAGGGUCUCCGCGACCCUCCCGGCCUCCCGCCUCCGGGCGGGUCGGCGCCCGCCGGAGGAUAACCAAACUCUGAUUUAACGACGUUUCUUCUGAGUGGUACAAGCAAAUAAUCAAAACUUUUAACAACGGAUCUCUUGGUUCUGGCAUCGAUGAAGAACGCAGCGAAAUGCGAUAAGUAAUGUGAAUUGCAGAAUUCAGUGAAUCAUCGAAUCUUUGAACGCACAUUGCGCCCGCCAGCAUUCUGGCGGGCAUGCCUGUUCGAGCGUCAUUUCAACCCUCAAGCUCUGCUUGGUGUUGGGGCCCUACAGCUGAUGUAGGCCCUCAAAGGUAGUGGCGGACCCUCCCGGAGCCUCCUUUGCGUAGUAACUUUACGUCUCGCACUGGGAUCCGGAGGGACUCUUGCCGUAAAACCCCCCAAUUUUCCAAAGGUUGACCUCGGAUCAGGUAG